UUCUUCUUGAUUAUAUUCCAGAGGUUUUCAAUUUGGUAAAAUCAAAUAAACUCACAAUUUUUAAGUGGUCUCUUAUUUUUUCCAGAGCUGUAUGUUAUUUGUAUCGUCUUUGCUAUGUCUCUACUAAACUGCUAUAAAUAACCCUAAUUUACAUUCCUCAGGCACUUUGCCGUACCCAGACUUGAACACAUCGGAGGAAGUAGCACGCUUUGUGUGUGCUGGCCACAGAAACAGUGAGCCUGAACAGUGCAGACCUGAAAUCCAACAAAUGAUGAUGGACUGCUGGCAAGAGCCUUACUCCUUAAGGCCUUCCUUCAUGGACAUUGUGGGAGUUCUGGAACACAUUCUUGAAAAUGAUCGUGACUAUGUGGACAUGGACACCAGAAAUGAGAGUAGCUCGGUGGAGCCUGUAGCUUCAGAUACUGUAACAACAUCUGAAGUGCAUACAGUGUAUUGUAAUGAAAGUAAAUGCUAGCUCAGCACUGUUAAUCAGGUUAAAGAUGUGGAUUUAACGAGUAUAGGGGAAAGGCUAUGGUGAAGCCACUGGAAGACACUUUUUUUAAAAAGGGCUUGUGUGUUUGUUUAAAUAUUGGUAUUGUUAAUUAAAGACUGGCUGACUCCAGAGGGGGGCAGGGGGGAAACAGUGUCCUAAAGCAGGGCUUUUAUGGCUUUUAAUGGUAUUUAUGACUUUUCCAUUCUCCUAACACACCUGACUCAACCAAUCAGCUCAUUAACAAGCCACUUUAGAGUUGCAGUGGGUGUGUUGAAGCAGGCAAUUCACUAAAAUAUGCUGUGCAGGAGGGUGUCAGGACCAGGAUUGAAAAACUCUGUCUUAAAUGAUGCCCUUUCCAGUAGAGACAAAGGUACACCGUGCUGUAUAGGGUUCUACCAUACUAUACAAGUGUAAAAACAUGAGUUAUAGAGAAUUUUUUCAUCAGUGAAUUAAACAUGAUCUAAGGAUGUAAAUACAUAAAAAGUACACUGUCAAAGUUAAAUAUAGUCUG
RNAcentral lists this long non-coding RNA (1004 nucleotides) under Astyanax mexicanus (Mexican tetra). RNAcentral describes it as "lncRNA (ENSAMXG00005000973.1)". Lineage: Eukaryota; Metazoa; Chordata; Actinopteri; Characiformes; Acestrorhamphidae. The record is from RNAcentral.